RNAcentral lists this long non-coding RNA (1478 nucleotides) under Androctonus crassicauda. The record is from RNAcentral. Lineage: Eukaryota; Metazoa; Arthropoda; Arachnida; Scorpiones; Buthidae.
AGUACUUACCACUAAUUCCAAACUUUGUUCCAAUGGCUGUCAAAAUAGUUUUUUUCUAAGUCGUGUCUCUAUUUUCCUAUCUGAUUUAUUAUAUAAGAAGGAAUAUUUUCUAAUAUCUUCGAAAAAUAUUUCAAAUUCCUCGCUGCGCUUCAACUUAUCUAUUGUUUCCGCCAUUUUAAUUUUUAAAAUUUCAGUUCAUGACAUCAACAAACAUCACUCCAAGCGAGACACAUGAUUGCGUAAAAGUACAACCGCAAGAGCUACAGAAACUUAAAAAGUUGAAAUUUUGUAUGGUAUGCUUUUCUGCACACGAUUCGCCCAGCAGUACAUUAUAAACAGGAAGUGACAUCACAUUUGGGCGUGUGUUGUCUGUUUCUGCAGUACGUUCUACUGAUAUGGAAUCCAGGCUUUAGUGUACCCAGACAUCAUCCGGUUGUAUUGUAAAAUAAAUAUAGACAUAGUGCCUAUUGGCACAAGCCUGUUCGCCUCAUCAAGGCGGGCCUUCUUCGAGGGAGCUGCGAUAUACCGUAAAGGCUGAUAAAAAUCUUAAGACAUUGCCCAAAGGGCAAAGAGCGUGCUUCACCAGAUCAUAUUACACCGACCUGCGAGAUGGAACGCUGCUUUAAUCAUAGUCAAGCAUGGCGGGGACAGAGUCCUUCCCUCCGAAUCCACUUCAACGAGAGAGUCCAGGUUAAUCCAGUCAGCCCGUCGGAGGGAAGAUCCUUCCGACCUUGGCCUCCCGUGCACGGUGUUAGUACAGCAACCGGUAACAGCCGAGGAAGGGCAAUGUCGAGCACCACAAAACAACUGAAAACCAAACAGCCCAUAGCGAAACCGAAGUUCAACGAGGCGAUAGAACCCAACUACAGGAGGUGAAACAUGGUAAGAUCGACGAGGGCCUUACUCUUGAAUUUCGCUAAUUUCAUCUGGUCUCAUCUCACUUCCAACUCACGCAUGAACUUAACACGAUAAUACGAUAAUUCGGUACUCUAGACUAGGCCAACAUCAUCAGUAAGAUAAAAUAACGACUGGCGAAUUCAACGUGUUGUGUCUACGAAUUAUGGAAUUUUAAAAAAAUGGUCGGCCCAUCAAAUUUAAUACAGUAUUACAAAAUACCACCCGCGUUAUAGUCUUAUAUACACAAUGGAAAAGCAUGGCAAAAUUAAAAAAGUUAUCGAAGAACAGAAAAGUAUUAAGGUCACAUUCGUAAAACAAAAUAAAAAAAUGAACACAGGAAAACUCGAUAAAGAUUUUACGAAAUAAAAUUGAAUUGAAUUAUGCAGAGUUACUAGAAAAGUUAAAUUUUUGUAUGAGAGCCGACCAAUCGUAUGGGAUGGGAGAAAAGCAAGUUGAAAAUUUUGCCAUUCUUACAUCUAUAUUAAUUUAAUAUCCUUUGACCAAAAUUAAUAUCUGAAUAUAUGUGAUUCCAAAUCAAAUUCAUAAUCAACAAUAACUGAUAUGUCAUAUUCUAUUUUUUU